UACGUACGAGGCGAGCGUUAUCCGGAAUUACUGGGCGUAAAGGGCUCGUAGGCGGCCCACUAAGUCCGACGUGAAAUCCCCAGGCUUAACUUGGGAACUGCGUCGGAUACUGGUGGGCUUGAAUCCGGGAGAGGGAUGCGGAAUUCCAGGUGUAGCGGUGAAAUGCGUAGAUAUCUGGAGGAACACCGGUGGCGAAGGCGGCAUCCUGGACCGGCAUUGACGCUGAGUGAGCGAAAGCCAGGGGAGCAAACGGG
Molecule: ribosomal RNA, 254 nt
Filed under: uncultured bacterium
Lineage: Bacteria
Description: partial 16S ribosomal RNA
Rfam family: Bacterial small subunit ribosomal RNA
Source: RNAcentral